AAAAAAAGAAAAUGGUUGUCAUCACUUUCACAGCUAAUGCCCCUUUAAAAUAAGAUGUAAGUGCACAGUUAUCUGAAUUUUAAUCUAAUUAGAAAAAAAAAAGUGAAGAAAAAAUAUCUAUAUCUAAAUCAAUGGAGAGAGAGAGAGAGAGAGAGAGAGAGAGAGAGAGAGAGAGAUUUCUUUUCUUUAUUUACAUGUAUAUCUGAACAUUGAUUACAAUUCAGAUACUGGAUUUGUGAGUUGAAAUUAAUCAAAUGAGAGUGGUAAAAAUUCACCUUUAUAUCGUAUAAUUUAUCCAGGUACGUUAUUCUGGUGUGUGGAAUGCUAAUUGAUACUAAGUUAGAAUAAUCUAAGCUGUAUACCAAAGUAGGUCUUCAUGGAGCUUUACGGUUCUAUGCAUCGCAAAUAGAGAUCGGGUUCAAUGCGUCGGGUGUGGGAUUCACUCAAUAUUAUAUGCUGAGCGCGAAAGUUGAUAUCAACAGACGCCAUGAUGUUAUACCGGUAAACAUCUUGAACAUGAAUCGAGAACAGGAGUUGAUGCAGAUAUUCUGAGGAGAAUCUUCCAAUCAUUGAAAUAUAUUUCAUGAUAGUCGUGAAGAUACAGAAGUUGUGAUGGUGUGUUGAUAGGCUGUCUUCAACUUGCCAUAUCUGAGAGUUCCAACAUGCAGGCCUGGAUUAAUGUGUAUAAAUCACUAAUGAAGUUACUUAGUGUUAUUUAGUUUUAAAAAAAGAAUGACAUUUCAAUUUAUACACACUUGCCAAGUGAAUCUGAUGACACUGCUACAUGUAUUUGUGAGUAAAGGCACUCUGUCAUGUCUUAACCGAAAAACUAUUUACAGUUUAUCACAACAAAUGGAUGGGACAGUAGAGUUGUUGCGGACAAUAUGUGAUUGUGAUGACCAAGUACUGAACAAGUGGAAGAUUAGAAGAAGGUCCAGAAUUCAAUCAUGUUUUUGAUUCUAAGGCGCAGACAGCAUGGAGAUAGUCCUAUUAUUCUCCCAUUCUGACCUCUAUGAUGGAGAAACUUGUGUAAAUGUUUACAGUGUUCUCCCUAAUAAGGGCCCACAAGUCUGUAUUAAUUUAUCAGAAUAUAAAGUCCUUCACAGUACUCAAAAGUACUGACUUUAAAAUUCAUGUAGAUUGUCUCCAGAUUUUUCUGAGGAAAAGUGCAUAGUUCACAUGUGUGAAUUUUGAAUAUAUUUCAUUCUUGUCUGCAAAUGUUGCUGAAACCUGUUUAUAUUGAUGCACAAUGCACAUAGUCAUGUUAUGCAAAUGAUAGACCUCCUUUUUAAUUACAUGUCCUUAAGAUUAUGUCAACUCCUUUGUCUUAAUUGUAUAUACAAUUCUAUCAUUUAUAGCAUCAUUUGUAUAGCACUUGCUAGUUUAAUAAGGAUUUUAUUUUUUUAAAACUUUCAUUUGACUUGAUUGAUCUAAAACGGCCAAAAUUCACAAAUCUAUUUAAAUCACAACCUGACCUUAGGCCAGAAAAGUGCCACAGUGGGUUGAUAUUUUUCUCUUCGAUCUUGAAAGAAAUUCUUUAUGCAGCAGUUUCCAAAUAAAAUGUACUCUCAUGGCCAGGGUGGGACUUCACCGAGAACUUUUUAACAUUGCACAAUGCAAUAUUUGUGGAUUAGAAGCUGUUGCAGUUUCUUUAAGUUUUCUCUCACAUCUUGUUAUAAUUAUAUUUUAUAUUUUUGGUCGGGUUGCACAAUGUGCAAACAGUUUAUAAAAUGCUGAAUGACUGGUGGGCAAGCGACAAUAGCGUCCCUGUAAUAGUACCUACUUUGUGUAAUCAACUCCUUUCACACCUCUCACUUGAUGUUCCUCAAACUUUGUACAGUUGUUAGGGAUACAUCGAAGAUGUGCGUGUACCUUUUUGAAAGUGAUCAGACAUUUUUUGAAAAAUUUACAUGUAGUUAAACUUCCUCAUUUUUUAAGCAUUUCUUUAAUCGACAGUAUCUAUUUUGUGUAAUCAACUCCUCGUAUACCUCUAAUUUGACAUUCCUCAAACUGUGUACAGUUGUUAUGAAUACAUUGAAGAUGUGCAUAUGUGUUUUUGAAAGUGAUCAGACAUUUUAAAAAAAAAAAUGUACAUGUAGUUGAACUUAAGUCAUUUUAAAGCAUUUCUUGAAUAGAUGGUAACUAUUUUGUGUAAUCAAAUCUUCAUGCACCUCUAACUUGACAUUCCUUAAAAUUUGUACAGUUGUUAUGAACACAUUGAAGAUGUGCAUGUGUCUUUUUGAAAAUGAUUAGACUUUUUUUUUUUUUUAAUUACGUGUAGUUGAACUUGUUAUUUUUUUAUGCAUUUCUUGAAUAGAUGGUACCUAUUUUGUGUGAUCAACUCGUGCACGUCUAAAUUGAUAUUCCUCAAACUUUGUACAGUAGUUAUGGACACAUUGAAGAUGUGCAUGUGUCUUUUUGAAAGUGAUCAGACUUUUUUCAAAAAAAUUACAUUUAGUUGAACUUUGUCAUUUUUAUAAAGCAUUUCCUGAAUAGUUGGUACCUAUUUUUUGUAAUCAACUCCUCUUACAGCAUUUAUUUGACAUUCUUCAGACCUUGAACAGCUGUUAUGGAAGCAUUGUAAAUGUGCAUGUGUCUUUUCGGAAGUGAUCAGGCAUUCUUUGAAAAAUUUACAUGUGCAUGGUGAAGUUGAACUUGGUCAUUUUUUAAGCAUGGUACUUUAUGUAACCAACUCAUCUUUUACUUAACAUUUUCCAAACCCUGUACAUUAUAGAUGUUAUAAAAACAUUGAAGAUUUACAUCUAACAUUUUAAAAAUGUUUCUCUCUUUUUUUUUUUGUUGUUGAAAAAUUCUACAUUUAAUUUGUCAUUUUUCCAGUAUGUUUCUACUGUUGUUCCUAUGAUAGAUAACAUAUUUUACAAGAACCUGGUCAUUUCUGUUUUUGAAUCUCUCUUUUUUUUAAUUAGUAUUUUUGAAUAUGUUAAUUACUUGAUAUGUCAUUGUUCUUGAAAUUAUAUUAAUUGAAUUAU
Ostrea edulis (European flat oyster) is the source of this 2990-nucleotide long non-coding RNA. RefSeq lists it as uncharacterized. NCBI's taxonomy places the organism in Eukaryota, Metazoa, Mollusca, Bivalvia, Ostreida, Ostreidae. The record is from RefSeq and is a predicted model, not a curated record. The transcript has 2 exons.